UAGUAAUGCACUCACCAAUAUUCA
RNAcentral lists this non-coding RNA (24 nucleotides) under Drosophila melanogaster (fruit fly). The record is from RNAcentral. Lineage: Eukaryota; Metazoa; Arthropoda; Insecta; Diptera; Drosophilidae.